UUUGGUUAGGAUGGUGGGAUUCUGUUCGUCUCGAAGUAAUUCGUAGCCAUCCGUAAUUCAUUUUGUCUCGAGUUUGGCACUUGUCUGCAUCGCAUCCAGUUUUUAUUGCUUUUGUCUAUGGUAGCCCUAAUAGACAGAGGUGCCAACUUCUUUGGAGUGAGUUGAAGAACUCUAUACCUCGUGGUCAGAGCCUUUGGAUUUCUAUUGGUGAUUUUAAUGCAAUCUUAUCCUCUUCUUAGAAAUCCAGAGGCCUUUUAAGGGGAAGGAGGUGUCCGCAUUUUGGUG
This 285-nucleotide long non-coding RNA is filed under the name Gossypium barbadense (sea-island cotton). Its description in RNAcentral is "long non-coding RNA (GBAR_LNC008190)". Lineage: Eukaryota; Viridiplantae; Streptophyta; Magnoliopsida; Malvales; Malvaceae. The record is from RNAcentral.